GAAAUGCGAUAAGUAAUGUGAAUUGCAGAAUUCAGUGAAUCAUCGAAUCUUUGAACGCACCUUGCGCUCCUUGGUAUUCCGAGGAGCAUGCCUGUCCGAGCGUCAUUUCAACCCUCGAACCCCUCCGGGGGGUCGGCGUUGGGGAUCGGCCCUUUACGGGGCCGGCCCCGAAAUACAGUGGCGGUCUCGCCGCAGCCUCUCCUGCGCAGUAGUUUGCACACUCGCAUCGGGAGCGCGGCGCGUCCACAGCCGUUAAACACCCCAAACUUCUGAAAUGUUGACCUCGGAUCAGGUAGGAAUACCCGCUGAACUUAA
Molecule: ribosomal RNA, 315 nt
Filed under: uncultured fungus
Lineage: Eukaryota; Fungi
Description: eukaryotic LSU rRNA
Rfam family: 5.8S ribosomal RNA (bases 1-105)
Source: RNAcentral